RNAcentral lists this ribosomal RNA (2772 nucleotides) under Escherichia coli. RNAcentral's name for it is "bacterial LSU rRNA". It matches the Rfam family "Bacterial large subunit ribosomal RNA". The record is from RNAcentral. Lineage: Bacteria; Pseudomonadati; Pseudomonadota; Gammaproteobacteria; Enterobacterales; Enterobacteriaceae.
AGCGUACACGGUGGAUGCCCUGGCAGUCAGAGGCGAUGAAGGACGUGCUAAUCUGCGAUAAGCGUCGGUAAGGUGAUAUGAACCGUUAUAACCGGCGAUUUCCGAAUGGGGAAACCCAGUGUGUUUCGACACACUAUCAUUAACUGAAUCCAUAGGUUAAUGAGGCGAACCGGGGGAACUGAAACAUCUAAGUACCCCGAGGAAAAGAAAUCAACCGAGAUUCCCCCAGUAGCGGCGAGCGAACGGGGAGGAGCCCAGAGCCUGAAUCAGUGUGUGUGUUAGUGGAAGCGUCUGGAAAGGCGCGCGAUACAGGGUGACAGCCCCGUACACAAAAAUGCACAUACUGUGAGCUCGAUGAGUAGGGCGGGACACGUGGUAUCCUGUCUGAAUAUGGGGGGACCAUCCUCCAAGGCUAAAUACUCCUGACUGACCGAUAGUGAACCAGUACCGUGAGGGAAAGGCGAAAAGAACCCCGGCGAGGGGAGUGAAAAAGAACCUGAAACCGUGUACGUACAAGCAGUGGGAGCCUCUUUUAUGGGGUGACUGCGUACCUUUUGUAUAAUGGGUCAGCGACUUAUAUUCUGUAGCAAGGUUAACCGAAUAGGGGAGCCGAAGGGAAACCGAGUCUUAACUGGGCGUUAAGUUGCAGGGUAUAGACCCGAAACCCGGUGAUCUAGCCAUGGGCAGGUUGAAGGUUGGGUAACACUAACUGGAGGACCGAACCGACUAAUGUUGAAAAAUUAGCGGAUGACUUGUGGCUGGGGGUGAAAGGCCAAUCAAACCGGGAGAUAGCUGGUUCUCCCCGAAAGCUAUUUAGGUAGCGCCUCGUGAAUUCAUCUCCGGGGGUAGAGCACUGUUUCGGCAAGGGGGUCAUCCCGACUUACCAACCCGAUGCAAACUGCGAAUACCGGAGAAUGUUAUCACGGGAGACACACGGCGGGUGCUAACGUCCGUCGUGAAGAGGGAAACAACCCAGACCGCCAGCUAAGGUCCCAAAGUCAUGGUUAAGUGGGAAACGAUGUGGGAAGGCCCAGACAGCCAGGAUGUUGGCUUAGAAGCAGCCAUCAUUUAAAGAAAGCGUAAUAGCUCACUGGUCGAGUCGGCCUGCGCGGAAGAUGUAACGGGGCUAAACCAUGCACCGAAGCUGCGGCAGCGACACUAUGUGUUGUUGGGUAGGGGAGCGUUCUGUAAGCCUGUGAAGGUGUGCUGUGAGGCAUGCUGGAGGUAUCAGAAGUGCGAAUGCUGACAUAAGUAACGAUAAAGCGGGUGAAAAGCCCGCUCGCCGGAAGACCAAGGGUUCCUGUCCAACGUUAAUCGGGGCAGGGUGAGUCGACCCCUAAGGCGAGGCCGAAAGGCGUAGUCGAUGGGAAACAGGUUAAUAUUCCUGUACUUGGUGUUACUGCGAAGGGGGGACGGAGAAGGCUAUGUUGGCCGGGCGACGGUUGUCCCGGUUUAAGCGUGUAGGCUGGUUUUCCAGGCAAAUCCGGAAAAUCAAGGCUGAGGCGUGAUGACGAGGCACUACGGUGCUGAAGCAACAAAUGCCCUGCUUCCAGGAAAAGCCUCUAAGCAUCAGGUAACAUCAAAUCGUACCCCAAACCGACACAGGUGGUCAGGUAGAGAAUACCAAGGCGCUUGAGAGAACUCGGGUGAAGGAACUAGGCAAAAUGGUGCCGUAACUUCGGGAGAAGGCACGCUGAUAUGUAGGUGAAGCGACUUGCUCGUGGAGCUGAAAUCAGUCGAAGAUACCAGCUGGCUGCAACUGUUUAUUAAAAACACAGCACUGUGCAAACACGAAAGUGGACGUAUACGGUGUGACGCCUGCCCGGUGCCGGAAGGUUAAUUGAUGGGGUUAGCGCAAGCGAAGCUCUUGAUCGAAGCCCCGGUAAACGGCGGCCGUAACUAUAACGGUCCUAAGGUAGCGAAAUUCCUUGUCGGGUAAGUUCCGACCUGCACGAAUGGCGUAAUGAUGGCCAGGCUGUCUCCACCCGAGACUCAGUGAAAUUGAACUCGCUGUGAAGAUGCAGUGUACCCGCGGCAAGACGGAAAGACCCCGUGAACCUUUACUAUAGCUUGACACUGAACAUUGAGCCUUGAUGUGUAGGAUAGGUGGGAGGCUUAGAAGUGUGGACGCCAGUCUGCAUGGAGCCGACCUUGAAAUACCACCCUUUAAUGUUUGAUGUUCUAACGUUGACCCGUGAUCCGGGUUGCGGACAGUGUCUGGUGGGUAGUUUGACUGGGGCGGUCUCCUCCUAAAGAGUAACGGAGGAGCACGAAGGUUGGCUAAUCCUGGUCGGACAUCAGGAGGUUAGUGCAAUGGCAUAAGCCAGCUUGACUGCGAGCGUGACGGCGCGAGCAGGUGCGAAAGCAGGUCAUAGUGAUCCGGUGGUUCUGAAUGGAAGGGCCAUCGCUCAACGGAUAAAAGGUACUCCGGGGAUAACAGGCUGAUACCGCCCAAGAGUUCAUAUCGACGGCGGUGUUUGGCACCUCGAUGUCGGCUCAUCACAUCCUGGGGCUGAAGUAGGUCCCAAGGGUAUGGCUGUUCGCCAUUUAAAGUGGUACGCGAGCUGGGUUUAGAACGUCGUGAGACAGUUCGGUCCCUAUCUGCCGUGGGCGCUGGAGAACUGAGGGGGGCUGCUCCUAGUACGAGAGGACCGGAGUGGACGCAUCACUGGUGUUCGGGUUGUCAUGCCAAUGGCACUGCCCGGUAGCUAAAUGCGGAAGAGAUAAGUGCUGAAAGCAUCUAAGCACGAAACUUGCCCCGAGAUGAGUUCU